AUUGAACGCUGGCGGCAGGCUUAACACAUGCAAGUCGAGCGGGGAGAUGUAGCUUGCUACAUUUCCUAGCGGCGGACGGGUGAGUAAUGCUUAGGAAUCUGCCUAUUAGUGGGGGACAACAUUCCGAAAGGAAUGCUAAUACCGCAUACGCCCUACGGGGGAAAGCAGGGGAUCUUCGGACCUUGCGCUAAUAGAUGAGCCUAAGUCAGAUUAGCUAGUUGGUGGGGUAAAGGCCUACCAAGGCGACGAUCUGUAGCGGGUCUGAGAGGAUGAUCGGCCACCCUGGGACUGGGACACGGCCCAGACUCCUACGGGAGGCAGCAGUGAGGAAUAUUGGACAAUGGGCGAAAGCCUGAUCCAGCCAUGCCGCGUGUGUGAAGAAGGCCUUUUGGUUGUAAAGCACUUUAAGCGAGGAGGAGGCUACUUGGAUUAAUACUCUAGGAUAGUGGACGUUACUCGCAGAAUAAGCACCGGCUAACUCUGUGCCAGCCGCCGCAGUAA
This 501-nucleotide ribosomal RNA is filed under the name uncultured bacterium. RNAcentral describes it as "partial 16S ribosomal RNA". It matches the Rfam family "Bacterial small subunit ribosomal RNA", at positions 30 to 523 of the family's 1533-position model. The record is from RNAcentral.